This 10566-nucleotide long non-coding RNA is filed under the name Callithrix jacchus (white-tufted-ear marmoset). RNAcentral's name for it is "lncRNA (ENSCJAG00000080547.1)". The record is from RNAcentral. Lineage: Eukaryota; Metazoa; Chordata; Mammalia; Primates; Cebidae.
AUGUGCAGGUGGGUUAAUAGUGUGAAGGCAUCGCGCAUCCUCAUGCACAUGUGCAGGUGGGUUAAUAGUGUGAAGGCAUCGCGCAUCCUCACGCACAUGUGCAGGUGGGUUAAUAGUGUGAAGGCAUCGCGCAUCCUCACGCACACGUGCAGGUGGGUUAACAGUGUAGUGAAGGCAUCGCGCAUCCUCACGCACAUGUGCAGGUGGGUUAACAGUGUAGUGAAGGCAUCACGCAUCCUCACGCACAUGUGCAGGUGGGUUAAUAGUGUGAAGGCAUCGCGCAUCCUCACGCACAUGUGCAGGUGGGUUAAUAGUGCAGUGAAGGCAUCGCGCAUCCUCACGCACAUGUGCAGGUGGGUUAAUAGUGUAGUGAAGGCAUCGCGCAUCCUCACGCACAUGUGCAGGUGGGUUGACAGUGUAGUGAAUGCAUCGCGCAUCCUCACGCACAUGUGCAGGUGGGUUAAUAGUGUAGUGAAGGCAUCGCGCAUCCUCACGCACAUGUGCAGGUGGGUUAAUAGUGUAGUGAAUGCAUCGCGCAUCCUCACGCACAUGUGCAGGUGGGUUGAUAGUGUAGUGAAUGCAUCGCCCAUCCUCACGCACAUGUGCAGGUGGGUUGAUAGUGUAGUGAAGGCAUCGCGCAUCCUCACGCACAUGUGCAGGUGGGUUAACAGUGUAGUGAAGGCAUCGCGCAUCCUCACGCACAUGUGCAGGUGGGUUGAUAGUGUAGUGAAUGCAUCGCCCAUCCUCACGCACAUGUGCAGGUGGGUUGAUAGUGUAGUGAAGGCAUCGCGCAUCCUCACGCACAUGUGCAGGUGGGUUAACAGUGUAGUGAAGGCAUCGCGCAUCCUCACGCACAUGUGCAGGUGGGUUAAUAGUGUGAAGGCAUCGCGCAUCCUCACGCACAUGUGCAGGUGGGUUGAUAGUGUAGUGAAGACAUCGCGCAUCCUCACGUACAUGUGCAGGUGGGUUGAUAGUGUAGUGAAUGCAUCGCGCAUCCUCACGCACAUGUGCAGGUGGAUUAACAGUGUAGUGAAGGCAUCGCGCAUCCUCACGCACAUGUGCAGGUGGGUUAACAGUGUAGUGAAGGCAUCACGCAUCCUCACGCACAUGUGCAGGUGGGUUAAUAGUGUGAAGGCAUCGUGCAUCCUCACGCACAUGUGCAGGUGGGUUGAUAGUGUAGUGAAGGCAUCGCGCAUCCUCACGCACAUGUGCAGGUGGGUUGAUAGUGUAGUGAAGGCAUCGCGCAUCCUCACGCACAUGUGCAGGUGGGUUAACAGUGUAGUGAAGGCAUCACGCAUCCUCACGCACAUGUGCAGGUGGGUUAAUAGUGUGAAGGCAUCGCGCAUCCUCACGUACAUGUGCAGGUGGGUUGAUAGUGUAGUGAAGGCAUCGCGCAUCCUCACGCACAUGUGCAGGUGGAUUAAUAGUGUAGUGAAGGCAUCGCGCAUCCUCACGCACAUGUGCAGGUGGGUUAAUAGUGUAGUGAAUGCAUCGCGCAUCCUCACGCACAUGUGCAGGUGGGUUAAUAGUGUAGUGAAGGCAUCGCGCAUCCUCACGCACAUGUGCAGGUGGGUUGAUAGUGUAGUGAAGGCAUCGCGCAUCCUCACGCACAUGUGCAGGUGGGUUAACAGUGUAGUGAAGGCAUCACGCAUCCUCACGCACACGUGCAGGUGGGUUAAUAGUGUGAAGGCAUCGCGCAUCCUCACGUACAUGUGCAGGUGGGUUGAUAGUGUAGUGAAGACAUCGCGCAUCCUCACGCACAUGUGCAGGUGGGUUGAUAGUGUAGUGAAGGCAUCGCGCAUCCUCACGCACAUGUGCAGGUGGGUUAAUAGUGUAGUGAAGGCAUCGCGCAUCCUCACGCACAUGUGCAGGUGGGUUGAUAGUGUAGUGAAGGCAUCGCGCAUCCUCACGCACAUGUGCAGGUGGGUUAAUAGUGUAGUGAAUGCAUCGCGCAUCCUCACGCACAUGUGCAGGUGGGUUAAUAGUGUGAAGGCAUCGCGCAUCCUCACGUACAUGUGCAGGUGGGUUGAUAGUGUAGUGAAGGCAUCGCGCAUCCUCACGCACAUGUGCAGGUGGGUUAAUAGUGUAGUGAAGGCAUCGCGCAUCCUCACGCACAUGUGCAGGUGGGUUAAUAGUGUGAAGGCAUCGCGCAUCCUCACGUACAUGUGCAGGUGGGUUGAUAGUGUAGUGAAGGCAUCGCGCAUCCUCACGCACAUGUGCAGGUGGAUUAAUAGUGUAGUGAAUGCAUCGCGCAUCCUCACGCACAUGUGCAGGUGGGUUGAUAGUGUAGUGAAGGCAUCGCGCAUCCUCACGCACAUGUGCAGGUGGGUUAAUAGUGUAGUGAAUGCAUCGCGCAUCCUCACGUACAUGUGCAGGUGGGUUGAUAGUGUAGUGAAGGCAUCGCGCAUCCUCACGCACAUGUGCAGGUGGGUUGAUAGUGUAGUGAAGGCAUCGCGCAUCCUCACGCACAUGUGCAGGUGGGUUAAUAGUGUAGUGAAGGCAUCGCGCAUCCUCACGCACAUGUGCAGGUGGGUUGAUAGUGUAGUGAAGGCAUCGCGCAUCCUCACGCACAUGUGCAGGUGGGUUGAUAGUGUAGUGAAGGCAUCGCGCAUCCUCACGCACAUGUGCAGGUGGGUUAACAGUGUAGUGAAGGCAUCACGCAUCCUCACGCACAUGUGCAGGUGGGUUAAUAGUGUGAAGGCAUCGCGCAUCCUCUCGCACAUGUGCAGGUGGGUUAAUAGUGUGAAGGCAUCGCGCAUCCUCACGCACAUGUGCAGGUGGGUUAAUAGUGUAGUGAAGGCAUCGCGCAUCCUCACGCACAUGUGCAGGUGGGUUAAUAGUGUGAAGGCAUCGCGCAUCCUCACGUACAUGUGCAGGUGGGUUGAUAGUGUAGUGAAGGCAUCGCGCAUCCUCACGCACAUGUGCAGGUGGGUUAAUAGUGUAGUGAAUGCAUCGCGCAUCCUCACGCACAUGUGCAGGUGGGUUAAUAGUGUAGUGAAGGCAUCGCGCAUCCUCACGCACAUGUGCAGGUGGGUUAAUAGUGUAGUGAAUGCAUCGCGCAUCCUCACGCACAUGUGCAGGUGGGUUAAUAGUGUAGUGAAUGCAUCGCGCAUCCUCACGCACAUGUGCAGGUGGGUUAAUAGUGUAGUGAAGGCAUCGCGCAUCCUCACGCACAUGUGCAGGUGGGUUGAUAGUGUAGUGAAGGCAUCGCGCAUCCUCACGCACAUGUGCAGGUGGGUUGACAGUGUAGUGAAGGCAUCACGCAUCCUCACGCACAUGUGCAGGUGGGUUAAUAGUGUGAAGGCAUCGCGCAUCCUCACGUACAUGUGCAGGUGGGUUGAUAGUGUAGUGAAGACAUCGCGCAUCCUCACGCACAUGUGCAGGUGGGUUGAUAGUGUAGUGAAGGCAUCGCGCAUCCUCACGCACAUGUGCAGGUGGGUUAAUAGUGUGAAGGCAUCGCGCAUCCUCUCGCACAUGUGCAGGUGGGUUAAUAGUGUGAAGGCAUCGCGCAUCCUCACGCACAUGUGCAGGUGGGUUAAUAGUGUAGUGAAGGCAUCGCGCAUCCUCACGCACAUGUGCAGGUGGGUUAAUAGUGUGAAGGCAUCGCGCAUCCUCACGUACAUGUGCAGGUGGGUUGAUAGUGUAGUGAAGGCAUCGCGCAUCCUCACGCACAUGUGCAGGUGGAUUAAUAGUGUAGUGAAUGCAUCGCGCAUCCUCACGCACAUGUGCAGGUGGGUUAAUAGUGUAGUGAAGGCAUCGCGCAUCCUCACGCACAUGUGCAGGUGGGUUAAUAGUGUAGUGAAUGCAUCGCGCAUCCUCACGCACAUGUGCAGGUGGGUUAAUAGUGUAGUGAAUGCAUCGCGCAUCCUCACGCACAUGUGCAGGUGGGUUAAUAGUGUAGUGAAGGCAUCGCGCAUCCUCACGCACAUGUGCAGGUGGGUUGAUAGUGUAGUGAAGGCAUCGCGCAUCCUCACGCACAUGUGCAGGUGGGUUAACAGUGUAGUGAAGGCAUCACGCAUCCUCACGCACAUGUGCAGGUGGGUUAAUAGUGUGAAGGCAUCGCGCAUCCUCACGUACAUGUGCAGGUGGGUUGAUAGUGUAGUGAAGACAUCGCGCAUCCUCACGCACAUGUGCAGGUGGGUUGAUAGUGUAGUGAAGGCAUCGCGCAUCCUCACGCACAUGUGCAGGUGGGUUAAUAGUGUGAAGGCAUCGCGCAUCCUCACGUACAUGUGCAGGUGGGUUGAUAGUGUAGUGAAGGCAUCGCGCAUCCUCACGUACAUGUGCAGGUGGGUUGAUAGUGUAGUGAAGGCAUCGCGCAUCCUCACGCACAUGUGCAGGUGGAUUAAUAGUGUAGUGAAUGCAUCGCGCAUCCUCACGCACAUGUGCAGGUGGGUUAAUAGUGUAGUGAAUGCAUCGCGCAUCCUCACGCACAUGUGCAGGUGGGUUAAUAGUGUAGUGAAGGCAUCGCGCAUCCUCACGCACAUGUGCAGGUGGGUUGAUAGUGUAGUGAAGGCAUCGCGCAUCCUCACGCACAUGUGCAGGUGGGUUAAUAGUGUAGUGAAUGCAUCGCGCAUCCUCACGUACAUGUGCAGGUGGGUUGAUAGUGUAGUGAAGGCAUCGCGCAUCCUCACGCACAUGUGCAGGUGGGUUGAUAGUGUAGUGAAGGCAUCGCGCAUCCUCACGCACAUGUGCAGGUGGGUUAAUAGUGUAGUGAAGGCAUCGCGCAUCCUCACGCACAUGUGCAGGUGGGUUGAUAGUGUAGUGAAGGCAUCGCGCAUCCUCACGCACAUGUGCAGGUGGGUUGAUAGUGUAGUGAAGGCAUCGCGCAUCCUCACGCACAUGUGCAGGUGGGUUAACAGUGUAGUGAAGGCAUCACGCAUCCUCACGCACAUGUGCAGGUGGGUUAAUAGUGUGAAGGCAUCGCGCAUCCUCACGCACAUGUGCAGGUGGGUUGAUAGUGUAGUGAAUGCAUCGCGCAUCCUCACGCACAUGUGCCGGUGGGUUGAUAGUGUAGUGAAGGCAUCGCGCAUCCUCACGUACAUGUGCAGGUGGGUUGAUAGUGUAGUGAAUGCAUUGCGCAUCCUCACGCACAUGUGCAGGUGGAUUAAUAGUGUAGUGAAGGCAUCGCGCAUCCUCACGCACAUGUGCAGGUGGGUUGAUAGUGUAGUGAAGGCAUCACGCAUCCUCACGCACAUGUGCAGGUGGGUUAAUAGUGUGAAGGCAUCGCGCAUCCUCACGCACAUGUGCAGGUGGGUUGAUAGUGUAGUGAAGGCAUCGCGCAUCCUCACGCACAUGUGCAGGUGGAUUAAUAGUGUAGUGAAUGCAUCGCGCAUCCUCACGCACAUGUGCAGGUGGGUUAAUAGUGUAGUGAAGGCAUCGCGCAUCCUCACGCACAUGUGCAGGUGGGUUAAUAGUGUAGUGAAUGCAUCGCGCAUCCUCACGCACAUGUGCAGGUGGGUUAAUAGUGUAGUGAAGGCAUCGCGCAUCCUCACGCACAUGUGCAGGUGGAUUAAUAGUGUAGUGAAUGCAUCGCGCAUCCUCACGCACAUGUGCAGGUGGGUUGAUAGUGUAGUGAAGGCAUCGCGCAUCCUCACGCACAUGUGCAGGUGGGUUAAUAGUGUAGUGAAUGCAUCGCGCAUCCUCACGCACAUGUGCAGGUGGGUUAAUAGUGUAGUGAAGGCAUCGCGCAUCCUCACGCACAUGUGCAGGUGGGUUGAUAGUGUAGUGAAGGCAUCGCGCAUCCUCACGCACAUGUGCAGGUGGGUUAACAGUGUAGUGAAGGCAUCACGCAUCCUCACGCACAUGUGCAGGUGGGUUAAUAGUGUGAAGGCAUCGCGCAUCCUCACUUACAUGUGCAGGUGGGUUGAUAGUGUAGUGAAGACAUCGCGCAUCCUCACGCACAUGUGCAGGUGGGUUGAUAGUGUAGUGAAGGCAUCGCGCAUCCUCACGCACAUGUGCAGGUGGGUUAAUAGUGUGAAGGCAUCGCGCAUCCUCACGUACAUGUGCAGGUGGGUUGAUAGUGUAGUGAAGGCAUCGCGCAUCCUCACGUACAUGUGCAGGUGGGUUGAUAGUGUAGUGAAGGCAUCGCGCAUCCUCACGCACAUGUGCAGGUGGAUUAAUAGUGUAGUGAAUGCAUCGCGCAUCCUCACGCACAUGUGCAGGUGGGUUAAUAGUGUAGUGAAUGCAUCGCGCAUCCUCACGCACAUGUGCAGGUGGGUUAAUAGUGUAGUGAAGGCAUCGCGCAUCCUCACGCACAUGUGCAGGUGGGUUGAUAGUGUAGUGAAGGCAUCGCGCAUCCUCACGCACAUGUGCAGGUGGGUUAAUAGUGUAGUGAAUGCAUCGCGCAUCCUCACGUACAUGUGCAGGUGGGUUGAUAGUGUAGUGAAGGCAUCGCGCAUCCUCACGCACAUGUGCAGGUGGGUUGAUAGUGUAGUGAAGGCAUCGCGCAUCCUCACGCACAUGUGCAGGUGGGUUAAUAGUGUAGUGAAGGCAUCGCGCAUCCUCACGCACAUGUGCAGGUGGGUUGAUAGUGUAGUGAAGGCAUCGCGCAUCCUCACGCACAUGUGCAGGUGGGUUGAUAGUGUAGUGAAGGCAUCGCGCAUCCUCACGCACAUGUGCAGGUGGGUUAACAGUGUAGUGAAGGCAUCACGCAUCCUCACGCACAUGUGCAGGUGGGUUAAUAGUGUGAAGGCAUCGCGCAUCCUCUCGCACAUGUGCAGGUGGGUUAAUAGUGUGAAGGCAUCGCGCAUCCUCACGCACAUGUGCAGGUGGGUUAAUAGUGUAGUGAAGGCAUCGCGCAUCCUCACGCACAUGUGCAGGUGGGUUAAUAGUGUGAAGGCAUCGCGCAUCCUCACGUACAUGUGCAGGUGGGUUGAUAGUGUAGUGAAGGCAUCGCGCAUCCUCACGCACAUGUGCAGGUGGAUUAAUAGUGUAGUGAAUGCAUCGCGCAUCCUCACGCACAUGUGCAGGUGGGUUAAUAGUGUAGUGAAGGCAUCGCGCAUCCUCACGCACAUGUGCAGGUGGGUUAAUAGUGUAGUGAAUGCAUCGCGCAUCCUCACGCACAUGUGCAGGUGGGUUAAUAGUGUAGUGAAUGCAUCGCGCAUCCUCACGCACAUGUGCAGGUGGGUUAAUAGUGUAGUGAAGGCAUCGCGCAUCCUCACGCACAUGUGCAGGUGGGUUAAUAGUGUAGUGAAGGCAUCGCGCAUCCUCACGCACAUGUGCAGGUGGGUUAACAGUGUAGUGAAGGCAUCACGCAUCCUCACGCACAUGUGCAGGUGGGUUAAUAGUGUGAAGGCAUCGCGCAUCCUCACGUACAUGUGCAGGUGGGUUGAUAGUGUAGUGAAGACAUCGCGCAUCCUCACGCACAUGUGCAGGUGGGUUGAUAGUGUAGUGAAGGCAUCGCGCAUCCUCACGCACAUGUGCAGGUGGGUUAAUAGUGUGAAGGCAUCGCGCAUCCUCUCGCACAUGUGCAGGUGGGUUAAUAGUGUGAAGGCAUCGCGCAUCCUCACGCACAUGUGCAGGUGGGUUAAUAGUGUAGUGAAGGCAUCGCGCAUCCUCACGCACAUGUGCAGGUGGGUUAAUAGUGUGAAGGCAUCGCGCAUCCUCACGUACAUGUGCAGGUGGGUUGAUAGUGUAGUGAAGGCAUCGCGCAUCCUCACGCACAUGUGCAGGUGGAUUAAUAGUGUAGUGAAUGCAUCGCGCAUCCUCACGCACAUGUGCAGGUGGGUUAAUAGUGUAGUGAAGGCAUCGCGCAUCCUCACGCACAUGUGCAGGUGGGUUAAUAGUGUAGUGAAUGCAUCGCGCAUCCUCACGCACAUGUGCAGGUGGGUUAAUAGUGUAGUGAAUGCAUCGCGCAUCCUCACGCACAUGUGCAGGUGGGUUAAUAGUGUAGUGAAGGCAUCGCGCAUCCUCACGCACAUGUGCAGGUGGGUUGAUAGUGUAGUGAAGGCAUCGCGCAUCCUCACGCACAUGUGCAGGUGGGUUAACAGUGUAGUGAAGGCAUCACGCAUCCUCACGCACAUGUGCAGGUGGGUUAAUAGUGUGAAGGCAUCGCGCAUCCUCACGUACAUGUGCAGGUGGGUUGAUAGUGUAGUGAAGACAUCGCGCAUCCUCACGCACAUGUGCAGGUGGGUUGAUAGUGUAGUGAAGGCAUCGCGCAUCCUCACGCACAUGUGCAGGUGGGUUAAUAGUGUGAAGGCAUCGCGCAUCCUCACGUACAUGUGCAGGUGGGUUGAUAGUGUAGUGAAGGCAUCGCGCAUCCUCACGUACAUGUGCAGGUGGGUUGAUAGUGUAGUGAAGGCAUCGCGCAUCCUCACGCACAUGUGCAGGUGGGUUAAUAGUGUAGUGAAUGCAUCGCGCAUCCUCACGCACAUGUGCAGGUGGGUUAAUAGUGUAGUGAAUGCAUCGCGCAUCCUCACGCACAUGUGCAGGUGGGUUAAUAGUGUAGUGAAGGCAUCGCGCAUCCUCACGCACAUGUGCAGGUGGGUUGAUAGUGUAGUGAAGGCAUCGCGCAUCCUCACGCACAUGUGCAGGUGGGUUGAUAGUGUAGUGAAGGCAUCGCGCAUCCUCACGCACAUGUGCAGGUGGGUUAAUAGUGUAGUGAAGGCAUCGCGCAUCCUCACGCACAUGUGCAGGUUCGUUGAUAGUGUAGUGAAGGCAUCGCGCAUCCUCACGCACAUGUGCAGGUGGGUUGAUAGUGUAGUGAAGGCAUCGCGCAUCCUCACGCACAUGUGCAGGUGGGUUAACAGUGUAGUGAAGGCAUCACGCAUCCUCACGCACAUGUGCAGGUGGGUUAAUAGUGUGAAGGCAUCGCGCAUCCUCACGCACAUGUGCAGGUGGGUUGAUAGUGUAGUGAAUGCAUCGCGCAUCCUCACGCACAUGUGCAGGUGGGUUAAUAGUGUGAAGGCAUCGCGCAUCCUCACGCACAUGUGCAGGUGGGUUAAUAGUGUAGUGAAGGCAUCGCGCAUCCUCACGCACAUGUGCAGGUGGGUUGAUAGUGUAGUGAAGGCAUCGCGCAUCCUCACGUACAUGUGCAGGUGGGUUGAUAGUGUAGUGAAUGCAUUGCGCAUCCUCACGCACAUGUGCAGGUGGAUUAAUAGUGUAGUGAAGGCAUCGCGCAUCCUCACGCACAUGUGCAGGUGGGUUGAUAGUGUAGUGAAGGCAUCACGCAUCCUCACGCACAUGUGCAGGUGGGUUAAUAGUGUGAAGGCAUCGCGCAUCCUCACGCACAUGUGCAGGUGGGUUGAUAGUGUAGUGAAGGCAUCGCGCAUCCUCACGCACAUGUGCAGGUGGGUUGACAGUGUAGUGAAGGCAUCGCGCAUCCUCACGCACAUUUGCAGGUGGGUUAACAGUGUAGUGAAGGCAUCGCGCAUCCUCACGCACAUGUGCAGGUGGGUUAAUAGUGUGAAGGCAUCGCGCAUCCUCACGCACAUGUGCAGGGGGGUUAAGAGUGUAGUGAAGGCAUCGCGCAUCCUCACGCACAUACGCAGGUGGGUUAAUAGUGUAGUGAAGGCAUCGCGCAUCCUCACGCACAUACGCAGGUGGGUUAAUAGUGUAGUGAAGGCAUCGCGCAUCCUCACGCACAUGUGCAGGUGGGUUGAUAGUGUAGUGAAGGCAUCGCGCAUCCUCACGCACAUGUGCAGGUGGGUUAAUAGUGUGAAGGCAUCGCGCAUCCUCACGCACAUGUGCAGGUGGGUUAACAGUGUAGUGAAGGCAUCGCGCAUCCUCACGCACAUGUGCAGGUGGGUUAACAGUGUAGUGAAGGCAUCGCGCAUCCUCACGCACAUGUGCAGGUGGGUUGAUAGUGUGAAGGCAUCGCGCAUCCUCACGCACAUGUGCAGGUGGGUUGACAGUGUAGUGAAUGCAUCGCGCAUCCUCACGCACAUGUGCAGGUGGGUUGAUAGUGUAGUGAAUGCAUCGCGCAUCCUCACGCACAUGUGCAGGUGGGUUAAUAGUGUGAAGGCAUCGCGCAUCCUCACGCACAUGUGCAGGUGGGUUGACAGUGUAGUGAAGGCAUCACGCAUCCUCACGCACAUGUGCAGGUGGGUUAAUAGUGUGAAGGCAUCGCGCAUCCUCACGCACAUGUGCAGGUGGGUUGAUAGUGUAGUGAAGGCAUCACGCAUCCUCACGCACAUGUGCAGGUGGGUUGACAGUGUAGUGAAUGCAUCGCGCAUCCUCACGCACAUGUGCAGGUGGGUUGACAGUGUAGUGAAGGCAUCACGCAUCCUCACGCACAUGUGCAGGUGGGUUAAUAGUGUGAAGGCAUCGCGCAUCCUCACGCACAUGUGCAGGUGGGUUGAUAGUGUAGUGAAGGCAUCGCGCAUCCUCACGCACAUGUGCAGGUGGGUUGAUAGUGUAGUGAAGGCAUCGCGCAUCCUCACGCACAUGUGCAGGUGGGUUAAUAGUGUAGUGAAGGCAUCGCGCAUCCUCACGCACAUGUGCAGGUGGGUUGAUAGUGUAGUGAAGGCAUCGCGCAUCCUCACGCACAUGUGCAGGUGGGUUGAUAGUGUAGUGAAGGCAUCGCGCAUCCUCACGCACAUGUGCAGGUGGGUUAAUAGACUGUCGUGA